Molecule: ribosomal RNA, 256 nt
Filed under: uncultured bacterium
Lineage: Bacteria
Description: partial 16S ribosomal RNA
Rfam family: Bacterial small subunit ribosomal RNA
Source: RNAcentral
UACAGGGGGUGCAAACGUUGCUCGGAAUCAUUGGGCGUAAAGCGCACGUAGGCGGUUCGUUAUGUCGGAUGUGAAAGCCCUUGGCUUAACCGAGGAAGUGCAUCCGAAACUGGCGAGCUAGAGUACGAAAAGAGGAUCGCGGAAUUCCCGGUGUAGAGGUGAAAUUCGUAGAUAUCGGGGAGGAACACCGGUGGCGAAGGCGGCGAUCUGGGGUCGAUACUGACGCUGAGGUGCGAAAGCGUGGGGAGCAAACAGG